GUAGCUGCUAAUUGGAACCAUUGCAGACAGGGAGGAGAGGGACAGCAGCAGCAGCAGCAGCCCUGGAAGUGGUAGUAAUUCCAACCUCAGCACUCCCACCCCCUCCUUACACCUAGCAGCAUGAGAGAGAGGAGAGAGACAUGCUAGCAGAGUGGAACAGAGGAGGCUGUUCAAGAACCAGGAGGGACCAGCUAUAUGUGGUCUUGGGCCAGCCCUGGGCUGUCUUUGUCUAGGGGAUCCUGGUGUUGAAAACCAACAGCAACUAGGUGAGCAAGGGCCUCGGAGAUAUACAGAGUAAGGAGACUACAUGGAAGGGCCACCAACAGACUCCCAGAGUUGCUGAUUAAAGACUCAGACCCCAGCCCUCACAGUCAGAGGCCAAGGUGUUCAUGAGAAAAAUGCACAAAAUCCCGACUGACCGGAAUAAUUCAUGAAGAAGGGGCUGAAUCCGUGGGUCAGAGAACACAGGACCAGUUUGCCAUCCCAAGGCGGAAGUCUGGUGACUCGGAUUUGGCCCUGCGUUUCCCACUCCUGCUGCAUCUUACCCAGUCGAGGAACGAAAGGUCUUGACACCUUCCUGAAGCAUGGGAAGAAAGGAGGUUCUGAAAGCACAGAUCCAAGACCACCAGAGGCCGGGGACAGCGAUUCCUGGAGGGGCCGCUCACACAACACCAGGAGCUGAGGAGAACUGGAGCAGGAGGAACAUGGGCCCAACAAGGGUGGAAAUACCAGCAAUUCCAAAAGUCAUCUACAUCAGUGCCCAGGACGCCCAUGCAGAACCCACUGAAUGGAAGAAAACGUGGUGGCUGCUUCCUCAAUUUGCAACUGCAGAAGCUGGAAUAAGGGCCUGAGAAGGCAGAGAAGCCACAUGAGUCCAGUCCCAAAGCUGUCAGAGUAACCCUGAGGGAACUGUCUACUGAAUUAUGACCAGUUGUGCCAACAGACAUUGAGAAGAGACCUCCUUUCCAUUGGCUCCUAUCACACCUGGCUGCCACUGCUCCUGGGAUCUGGACCAUCUUGUAUCCACCUUUGAGCGUCACUUCCUGUUUCAGCUGUGGGAGUUCUGGUCCACUUUCCCUGUGAAGAAACCUUCACUUUUUCCUCCUUUGGAGUUCUGGAUUAGACUCUUGUACCUGGAACUGGGUCAAGUUAGGCUAAACGCACCUCUAGGCAUUCCUGUUUCUCAGAAGUUGUCAAGUUCACAUCAUACCUGUUUCAUUGGUGACCAGGGGUCCACUUCUAGCAGAUGCUACCUGGCCUGGUCAGUAUUUUUCAUGGUCAUCUCUUUAGUGCCUUUAUCUCAUCCCCUGCCCAACUCAGGUGAGACUUGCCCAGUGGUGACUUCUCUCCUGGUACUUUAGAUAGGGAGAGAAAAUGUGGCUUGGUGGAUCUGCCAUCUUCUUCAGUUUGGAGGCAAUUGGAGCAUGGCUCCAUCUAGGGAGGAAAAUGACUCCGAAAGAGACUGUCCUUAUCUCAGCUUCUGCCCUGUUCUACUCUCACAAUCCUUAUUCUUGCCCUUUGUGCCUGUCGUAAUGCAGGAGAAUUGUGGUUUUCUUUUUUCUAUUAAAUAUAACUGUAGCUAUUUUCAUUAUUGCAAAACAGCACAAGCUUAUUACGAAAACAUGAGAAAUAUAGACAAUAGAAGACAAAAAAUAUUCCCAAAUUUUAUCCCAAAGACAAGACAACUAUUGAUUCAUAUAGUUAUACAAUAUCAUACACAUAUACUACAUAUAUUUAUAUAUUUAAUGUGACUAUAAUAUCACAAUACCAUUUAUAUUCUUUGAUAACACAUCUUGUCAUUUAAUGUCUUAUGAAUAUAUUUCUAUAGCAACAAGCUCAGCUAUACUGAAAUUUUAAGAGUACUCAAUUGUAUAUAUGCCCUCAUUUAUCUCAUCUCACAUAGUUUAAUGUUUAGGCUGUUACCUCCUUUUCUAUAUUGUCAUUAAUGAUCAUGGAUUUAGUUUAAUCUUCCUAUAAUUAUUUCCGUAAGGUAAAUCCUUAGAAAGGGAUCGAAGGAUGAGUAGUAAAGGUUGCAAAGCUCUCCGAAUCUGGAGCCAGCAAUAACUGCUCAGACUCCCUUAAAAAUAAGAGCUCUAGGAAGGCCACACAUGCCCUUUCCCAGAUUCCUUCCCAUAGCUACACUUGGGCAGCCCUGACUUCUUUCACCUUGCCCUGAACGGAGAAUAGCCCUGAGAGAUGGCUGAGGAACAGGUAGUGAAUGAGCGAGUGGUGGUGUCAGUUUGGGUUUGGUUUUUGGAUAAACUUCACAGUUCCUCAUUGGAUGCUGAGAAAUGAUUAUUCAUUCAUGACCCAUUUAUGGAAGAGCCAUUGCUUCCAGAUGCCAGGCUAGAGGCUGAGAAGACAGAGAUGGAUUAAACAGGAAUUCUUCUCUCAGGAAUAGCACAGCCUAGGGAAGGAAGGCCCGUGAUAGACAGCACACAUUUACUCCAUGAUAAAGAGGAAACGUAUAAGAUCAGUAAUAUAUCUCAGGGAAGAAAACUGGAACCAUCUAAAAUCCCACAGGGAAAAUAUGAGGUUCCUGCAGUCUACUAGCCCAUUCAUCUCAGCUAACACCUUUGUGUGGAUCCUUUGGUGGUGAGACUUGCUCGCUUGUGGUCAUCCUUGCUAAACACAACCUGCCCAAAGGCAUUGACCGUGUCCUUCCUUUGCACCUCUAGCAAACUGGUACCAUCUUAUACCAUGGCUUCUGAAAUCUGUUCAGUGUAAAAUCCAAAUUAGAGUAAACAAAAUUAAAGGUAAAGAGAUUCAUGAGUUGAAACAAAGACUCAAUGUUUUAUGUAUGUAAGAAAAUUUGCAUUAAUUCAUAUCCUUCUGCCUGAUAGAAACUUUCUCAGAUAUUUCAUUAUAGAAGAAACAAUCACAUUCCAGAAAAUGUGGGAAGUAGAGAAAAGGAGAAUUAUCAGCCCAUCUCACCAUCCUAACCCAGGGCAAAUAGCAUUCUAGUGACCUUUGCCCUGAAAAAUUUGUAUUAAGAUGGUGUUGAGGACAAGAGCUAAGGAACAUGUGAGUUUUUCAUCUCCAAUUUUAUUGUGAAUAAAUAUAUCUGAUAGUGAAUUAUAUUCAUGUAGUUCAAAAUUCAAAAACACAAAAACAGAGACUGAAAAGUCCAUGAACCCCAGCCUCUAUUACUUGGAGACAUCCAGGAGUCUCAGUGUCUUGUGUAUCCUUCUAGAGUUUUUGUGCAUAUUAAACCAUGCGUGUUUAUAAAAUAUGAGUUUUGACUAGAGGGCUUUGGCAAAACUGUUACCAAAUGUCCUAAAUUUAGCUAAACUAUCUUCAGUAAUUUUAAUGGCAGGCCUGAGGUACAGAUGGAGAAGAGAAAAGGAUGGAGAGAGCGAGAGAGAGAGAGAGAGAGAGAGAGAGAGAGAGAGUGCUCCUGAGGGAGAGCGUGAAAGAAAGAGCAAUCUUUCAUUUAUCCAACUAGUAUUUAUUGAGCAGAUAUUACAUCUCAGAUAUUAUUCUAUGCCCAGGUGAUACAAGAGUGAAAAAAAUUCCCUGACUUCAUGGGGAUUAAGAAUGGAAGGUGGCAAACAAUAACCAUAAUCAAAAAGUAAAUUAUAAAGUCCAUCAGAAUGUGAUAAGCGUUAUGGAAAAACACAAGUGGGGUCCAGGAGAUGAGGCACAUCAGGAGACAGUUUUAACAUGAGUGGUCAGGGAGGGCUUCACUGAGGAGGCCUUAAAGGAGGCGAGAAGAUGGGCCCUGCAGAUACUCAGGGAAAGGGCACUGCAGAGGGAAGAAGCAAUGCACAGGCCUCGCAGCAGAAGUCAAGGCCUGGAGGUUUCCAGCAGCCAACCUCCUCCAGCUCCGGGCUGUUCCUGGUAACCUGUGCCCGCAGCUGGCUUCCCUUGGAGUUCAGGUCAGGCCGGUGUGUUUGGGCCAUAGUGCUAAGCUUACUGUAUACUAGACGUCAGUUUGUCUUCUCUCUAAAUUUUGAUUCUGAUGCUUAAUUUGACUCCUUCCAAGGUGAUUCUGUGGUUAGUCUGAAUAAGGAAAGGAGAGGGGCAGUGUUAUUGUAGUAGGUAGACAAGGUUGACAUUUGGGGGUCCUGGCUUUUAAACCAAUUCUGUUUUCAAGUCUUUUGUCAGACACAUUAUUCAACCUUUCCGGUCCUCAGGUUUGUCUCUUAGGAAACAAAAAGAAUGUGCUUAGUUGGCUUUAGGGCUGUCCCUACCAUUGGUUUUCAAGCUCUGUGACCAUGUGAGCAGUCCAGGUAGGAAGUGGCAUCAGAUGACAUCUAGCAACACCAGGGGACACAGAGGAGCUUCUGCCUGCAGAGGACUGUGUGCAUGAUAUGUGCCGCCACCUCGUUUCCCUUCUAGACUAGAAGAGCCCAGACCAGAAGAGCCCAGACCAUCCUUCAAAUAGAAUAUUUCACCUGAAUAAGCCCAGAAUUCCCUAAGUGAACAGAGGAGACAUGGGGACACGGUUAAUUGCUUUGUUCUUGUGCCGUUGGCAGUAUGGUUCCCUUUAAGCCCAGAAGGGCUCCUUUCCCCUGCCCCUUGGCGGAGCUCAUUCUCCAUAUGCAGUAGGGGUGGCAUGCUGGGGCCAGGGCUCCUUGUUUUGUUCCUGUGGGCCACAGAGGUCCCCUCCCUGUUUAGUGUCUUCCAGUUGGACACAGGGAGUCUUCGUCUACCUGGGGAAUAAGACACUGAGGAGGAGGGAAGCGUGUCAUGGACACCACUCUCCUUCCAGCAAAGUCACUGUGAAUUUAAAACUCAGACUGUGUGUAAGAGGUUGUGGGGGCAGAAAGGGGCCUUUGGAAAUUUCAUUUGGAGGCAGAGGUGCUAAACAUGAAUAGAAGCCUUUGCUUUGACUCUCAGAGGGUGAGUCACCUUGGUUAUAGUUACUCUUGGUUAUUCCUUGCUUUUUCUUUUGUUAUCUCCGCCCGCACCCCCGCCAUACCCACCCAUCUUUAGCAUUCUUAGCUGCUUUUCUACAGGUCAGCUGAAAAGUGACUUGCAGAAUAGGGCUUCUCUUCCCCUAUUGGAGUUCAUGGGCAUUAUGUUUCCUAGCACUGGGAGGAAAUAUACACGACCAUGCACUUUCCACUCAUAAAGGACCCUGAGGUAUUUAAUUGUGAAAAUCAACUUCUGAUUUAUGUUACUUUCCCAGUGCCUUUUCUUUACACACAUAUGAAAAUUGCUCUAUUACUUCUUACAUUUCAUGCAGUGCCCUUUGUCUCCAUCAACUGUUGUGGAGAGAAAUUUUAUUUGGAAUAUUCAUAACAAGUCUAUCGCUAAUUAUCACUUUAACAAUGUGUUAUGGAGUGUAUCCAUGCAGUCAUCUGGAAAAGCACAUAUGCCAUGAAAUUUGGGGACUUGCUGUGUGCUGUAGGUGCCCAGUCUCAGUGUUUCAUCAGAUCUUUGCUUGGGGAGGAGGUAGAGGUGCUUUGUGAGGGAGUAUGGAGGCCUGCAUCCUGCAUUCCUGUCCUCAUAGCAACAGUUUCCAGGGUGACUUGUUUUUGAGUGUAAAAAAAACCUUAAUGUGAAACAAAAACCCUUCCCUACUCUGCAGCCCUAUUACGGUCAGCCCAGGUCAGUGCCAGGUAGACUGAUCUUAGCCACAGAGCUAAUCGCAGAUGAAGACCCUGCUGUUCUUGGUGCCAUCCUGGCACUCUGGCAAGAAGAGUGGAGCUAAAAUUGCCACCUGGUUGGCAGGCCUCAGAAGCAAAUGGAGAGUGACCUCAGCAUGUCAGAAUGAGAAAGGAAAGAAUGCCUCGGCGUUUCUUUCUUCCUGCUCUCUUUUCUCUGGGAAAGGAGAAUGGACUCACACUGGGUUUCUUCUCCAGGAUUCUCAGUGAGUCUGGGAUUUGGGAGGCUAGAAUCAUAUUUUUACCAGGACACAUGGAGCGCUUCCCUCUGAAGCUUCCUGAUGGACAUGGAUGAAGCCCCAGAGGCUGCCUCCAAAUGAGGGCAGAGUAAUGGAGCCUAAUGGAGCACAGCUCCUAGUCUGAGCACAGUCCUACCGCAGGGAUAAAUCAAGCAGCCUUUAGGUGGGGCCAGGAAGGGGACAGAGGGAAAUGAAUGACUGUGUUGAGCUCAGCAUGACUUUGUGGAUCCUCUGAAGCUUUUAACUAAGUGGAGGAUUCAGACUCAGGAAUUUACUGAGGAAUAUGACUUGGAAGGAUGGAAAGUUGCAUCUGUUAUAACAAGCUUUUAAGGAUGAGUUUUCAGAGCACUUGGAGCCUGGUUUUGUUGGAUGUUACUUUAGAAAUAAUAACUACUUAUUAUUUGUUAAGUGCUUACUCAGUACUAGGCACAUUGUUCAUCAUAAUCAAUAAUACCUAACAUUGAUGGAGUAUUUGUGAUGUACCAAACUCUCAAGCACUUUAGAUUCUGACUUAACUAGGUCCUAGAAGGAAGCCCCCAUUGGAGCCAUCACUAAUAUGUAGAGAAAUUGAGGCUCAGGGUAUUAGAUAACUUACCAGAAACACUAAGGAAACCAGUAGCUUUAGGUCAGUCACUUACCUGUUUCAGGACACAGAGCACAGAGGCUUUCCCCCUUUACCCUUUAUGAAACAGCAGGAGAGGACGGGGGCUGUAUCUCAGUGGUAGAGCUCUUGCCUAGCGUGUGCAAGGCUCUGGGUUUGAUCCCUUGUACCACAAAAACAAAACAACCAUAACAACAGCAAAACCAGCAGGAGAAAGUGCUGAGAAACAGCAAGAAAGUGGGGCACUGAAAGGGGACAGGAGUCUGUGUAGCCCUGGGUCAGUGCUGGUACAAAGCUGGCCUUAUGACCUGGGUGCUUUGCAUCUGUUAUAAUGCACUGUGAAAACCCAGUGUUAGCUGUUGUCCUAAAGAACUGAUUCAAUAAACCCUACAUUUCUGGACAUUUGGUUUCCUUGUUUCUAUUUGGGUGGCACUAGGAUUUGGGAGGAGCUAGUUGGGAAUGUAUUUAAGGAGGAAAACUUUGGAUGUGGUUUUAGAAACAAGGCACCACAACCAGACUGUGAUGCAGGCUUCAUCUGUGGACAGGUGUAUGUGGACAGGUGCAUUGUGCAGGCACCAGCGCGGGCAGAGGAAGUGGUAGGUUUGAAGGUAGCAAAAUAGGGCGGCUUUGUUGUUGUCUGGCAUGGGCCCUGCCAGGCCACAUCCAUUAACUAUGCCAACACCACUGCUAAUAGGUGGGUGAUUCAGCUCCUUCCUGCAUUUUAUUGCCCAACAGAGACUUUAAUAGCCUUUUGAUUUAGCAAGUUAACAAAGUAAGCUCUCAAGCUCCACUGUUUAACACCAGCUGGAUGACCCUGGGCCUGCUGCUGCCUGGAGCCCUCUGGUACAGUCUUUGCAUUGAAAGAAGAGAAAGCUGUGGAAUUUUCAGGCUCUCCUCGAGAGCUCCUUUUGGGGCAGCCCUGCCAGCCCAGCAUGCUUAGACCCCUCCGAUGUCAUAUGUCGCCCCCGCCCCCAUCAGUCCAGCCGCAGAAGAGAUCUGUCUAGAAGUUAAUAUCCCAGGAACCUAAAGGUUGGGUGUCUUUGAGGAAGAGUGUCAGAUGAGAAUGUGAGGGUUCCCGGAUGGGGCUCUUUAUUGAUUUCCUGGAACUAUUGUGUAACAAAUUAUCACAAACUGGAUAAUUUAAACAAUAAACACAUUCUACCACAGUUCUAAAAGCCAGAAGUUUGAACUCAAGGUGUUGGUAGGGCCAUGCUCCCUCAGAAGGCCCUAGAGAAGGACCUUUGCAUGUCUCUUACUGGCUUCUGGUGGUUGCCAGUGAUCCUUACUGUCCCUUAGCUCGUAGACACAUCACUCUGUCUCUGCCUCUGUGGCCACACAGCCUUCUCCCUGUGUACGUCUUAUAAGGACACAAGCUGUAUUGGAUUUGGGGUCCACACAACUCCAGGAUGCUCUCAUCUUAACUAGUUACAGCUGGAAAGGCCCUGUUUGAAAGCAACAUAAGAGUCUGAGGUUCUGGGUGGACCUGAAUGUCCAGGCCCUUUAAAAGCAAGUGAAAAGAGGUAGGCCAUGUGGUAGCUGAUUCACACAGCUAGAGAGAGGUGGUUUCAGACAACACUUUCUGGUACAACUUUGUGCAGUGAUGGGAAGGCCCUGUAGCUGCACUGCUGAAAAUGUGGCUAAUGCGACAGAGGAACUGAAUUUAGCAUUGUGAUUGAUUUAAAUUAAGUUAAACAGUCAAGUCAUGUGACCAGGGGCUACUGUUGCAGAGAGCAAAGCCCUCAACCAGUGAAGGUGAACCUUUUAGAAACUGAGUGCCCAAACUGCAACAUAGAACCUACUUAUUUAUCGCAAAGUGCCAACACUGCCAUUAAACCCGAAUACUGAGGCUUUAGUUUAGAAAAGACAACUCAUAUAAUAAUAUCUUUUGUCUUGAAAGAAAAACAAAUAACACACGUGUCAUAGGUUCACCACCGCUGCCCUAAACCCUCCUGAGUGUGGAAUAGGAGAAGGAGACGUGAAGGCUGUCAAAGUCUGGGCAGGGCCAUUUGCAUCCAGGAUGGCCAUCAGCUGUUUAGGAUGCUGAUCAAGGUCUGCAGGGGUCUCUUUCCGUCUCCGGCUAGAGGAAGGACAUCACAUGGGAUCUCAGCACACAGGACAAUGGUCUCGGGAGUUCUUAAACCAGCAGCACCUCUUCCAAAGGAAGUCAUUUGUACUUUUGACAUGUAGGACCAUUAGUUGGAAGAGAGGCUGAUUUGGAUGGAGGUCAGAGACCUUCAUAGGGUUCCACCUUGCCUUCUCUUGAACCCUGAACCACAAAGUGAGGAAAUUAUGGUUGAGCCUACCAACCAUGUGAGAGAACAAGAAAUGGAGGUUCAGAGAAGUAGAGAAACUUAACAAGGUCACAGAGCAAGUGGUUUGAUGAAUAUCGUUAUCUUUGGAUUUCUGAGGAUCCAUUCCUGGGUCCUUCUAAAGUCCUUGAUGCCCUUUUUGAAAGAAGAUACUCAGUCUACUAGUCAGCUACUAUGAAAAAACUACUCUAAGGUCAGAUGCAACUUCUGGCUUAAUCACAACAGAAUUAAUGUUUGUUCGGUUGCUGGUUUUGUUUUGUGAACUGGCUGAGAUCUGUAGGUGAGUAUUAUGCAUGGGUACCCUUUCCAGGUGCCACUCAUCAAAUGCACACUAUAUGCCAUUACAGGCUGAGUAGAGUCCUUCAUUUCAUUGUAUCAUUGAAUCUCCAUAGGUUGGUGAUGUUGGUAUUACUGAUCCCAUUUGGGGAAAACUGAGGCUCAUGGGAGUGGGAGGCAGGGUUCCCAACCCAUGCCUUUUGCUCAGGGAGUUGCUGUCUCCUUAGAAGGAUGGUAAAGAAAUAUAAAAUAUCUGUCAUGAAUUAGGAAGAAUGUCCUAAAAUCUCAAGGUGCCAUUUAAAGGCAAAGACCAGUGUGGCUCGUGAGGGAAGGAGAGGCCAGACCAGGAGGUGACCACAAGCAGGUACAAGGCAGCCAGGCAUCCCAACGCAAUGCUGUGGUAAGAAAGCAAGGAGUAGAACAGCGUUGUGGAAAGUGAAAACCGCCUAGGAUGUGUGGGAGGCUGGAGGCAGAUGGGUGUGGAUGAGAAGGGCAAUAGGAGGGAUCCUUGUGUGAUGGAAAUGCUCUGUCUUUUCCCUGUAUCCAUGACUUGCCAUGAUAUUGUGGUAUAAGGUAGUUUUGCAAGACGUCGGCAUUGGGGGAAACUGGGUGAAGGGUACGUGAGAAUUCUAUGUGAAUCUAUACAAGUUUAAUUUUUAAAAUAUAUACAGAGUCUACUCCCAAAAAUGUAUAUACACUCCAAGAAAAGAAAUAUAGGAUGAUGUUUUUCCAACCCUCGUAUGGGGGAUCCUAGAGGAUGUCGUAUAUCGCAGAAAACCCACUCCACUGCUAGCCCUUAGAGAAGAAAUUAAAAGUACACGUGCAGCAAUUUCAAUGACCAAGGUUACACAAGCAGUAGUUGGCUGUACUAACAAAGUUCUGGAAGCCAGUGACCACACUUUGGCCACCUCUUGUAACUGUAGAGGCUGAAGGUAACUUACAUUAAACUCAUGAUGUCUCAAUAAAUUUAGUAUUAAAAUAUUUAUACAAGCUUUUCUUUUCUUGAAGUGCAUAUACUUUUUUGGUGAACUCUGUAUAUAUAUGGGAGAGAGAGUGGAGUUCACAGACCCCCAGCCCUUCACCCCUUGCAUGCACUCCAGGAGAAGCUUGCAUGGUGUCUUUUUGCAGCAAGGUAUCUUCAGGUGUCUGUCCUGGAUGCCUUUGGGCAGGACCAAGAGGAAUACAUGCCUGAGAGCUAGGCAGAUGGCACUCGGAGAGACAGAUGGCCAGAAUCCCCAGAGGUGGGAGCACUCACUGAGCACCUACUAGGUGCCAGGUGCUGUUCCAGGGCUAGAGACUGAGGUUAGGAAAGCUGGUGCAGCUUCCCACAGGUUUGCAUUGUACAGUUGAAGACAGAUGUAAACCAGGAACAGGGCAAUGCCAGGUGGUGACAGGUGCUGUGAAGAAGAUGAAAGAGCAGAGUGUGACAGAGUAGCUGGGGGCUGCUUUUGCUGGAGCAGUCAGGGAAGGCUUCUUUGAGGAAAACCUAAGUGAGAAGGAGGCAGCCAUGGGGACAUGUGAGGGAGAGUAUUCUAUGCAGGAGGAAGAGCAGGUGCAGGAUCUCUGAGACAGGAAUAAGCUUGUGCACGAGGGGCAAGAUGAAGACCAUAGGAAGGGAAGCACUGGCAUUGGGAGCUGGAGGGCGAUGAAGCUAAAAAGACAGGCAAAGGCCAGAUCCUAUAGGCAGGUGCUUGCAGAUGUUGGUAAGGAGUUGGUAUUGGGAGUCUCUGGCAGGUCUGAAGUAGGUACAUGGCCAGCUAUGUGUGGAUGGGUUUUAGAAGGGCAGGAGUGGAAAAUAGUAGACCACAUUGUACUACUGCAAUGGUCCAUGCAAGAGGGCAGUGUCAUGAGUAGGGCUUUGGCAUUGGCAUGGGAAACCUGUUGGAUUGGGGUUGCUCUGAGAGGAGAGCUAUCAGAGAUUUGCUGGUGGUUUACACAUGGAUGCGAUGGCAAGAAAAAGAUCCAGGAUGAUUCCCAGGUCUGCUGUUUCAUUCUAUCCCAGCUAACUCCAAAGGACUGGUCAGAGAAUGUCCUUCAGAGAAUAGCACUAAAAAUAGAUGAGAAUUGGGCUGAGCCUCAAAAAGUGUGGGUUGAAGGGGUGACCCCCUCACCAGUUUCACCACUCUGGUCCUUAGGCUCUUUCUUGCUGCAGGGAGCAGACCUGCUCUGCUUUUCUUGUACAUGGAGCUGAUUGUAAGAUGGUGGUGAGGUGAGGGGGUUUGGCAGCCAUCCUGGCAGUGGUCCUGUGACACCCAGGAGAACGGGGGCACAGUCUUCCCCCACCUAAGCAGCUAUCAGCAGACAUCAUAUACUGUCCAUGUCUCCACUGUUCUGAGCCAGCUGUGGUUUGGAGCCCCCUGCAGACAUGCUGCCUCCUCCUUCACUCUCUGGGCUGCACACUCCAGAUGCCCUGCAGGGAGAGUCUCCUAGGAUUGGCUGGUCCAUCCAGGCCAUGUCUGCAGGGCAGAGGGCUCGGGCCAGGCCAUUGCCAAGGCAGCUGGAGUCCUUGAUGCAUCCCCCAAAAGCCAUUGCCUUUGACUUGUUCUGGGCCUAGUUGUGGCCCAAGCAUCAUGGAACAGAAAAUGUGCAUAGCAGCACAAGUGCCCGGGGCUGGGUGUGACCUCCAGAGGUGUGGCAGGCAUUGGCAUAGACGUCCUGGACACAAAAGCUGUGCAAUUCAGGAAGGCCAGUGUCCAGUGGAUGAGAAGGACCUAACAUGUCAGUAAGGUGGACAGCUUCUGUCGGCAAAAGUGGGAGGCACGCAGAAAAUAACCUUGGAUUUGUGUAAUAGUAUCUCUUGUGAUGUGGGAUUAAUUUUAUCUUUGGUGCUGCAUCUUUGGUGGCCCAGGGAACGCUGCAUUUCUCCACUCUCUUCCGUCCAUCAAAGUGGCUCCUCAAAGAGCACUUCUCACAUUCCUCACCCCAAGGAUAGAACAGAAUCACCUCAAGCACAGAACCAUGGCCCUAGGGGACAUGGCCUUCACCUGCUUCCUUUUUAUCUGCCUCGCCUAAUUCAUCUUUCCUUUCUUUUUCUCCCUUAAUCCCUCGAAGUUAGCCAGGGAGGGGCAGAAAGGAAUCUUGGUUUUUGUCUGACUCUAUAGGAGUACAGUUGCUAGAACUGAACUGUGUUUCCCCUAAAUUCCUAGGUUGAGCCCGAAUCCUACUGUAAGUGUAUGUGGACAGAGGCCUUGAGGGGGGAAAGGGUCCUGCAGAGCACUGGUAUUCUUAGGAGAAGAGACGCUAGAGGUUGCUUCCUCCCCUGCACACACAGAGGAAAGUUCAUCGGGGUCAGACAGAAGGCAGAUGUCUACAAGCCAGGAAGAAAGUCCUCACUAGACAGCUAAUCCUCAGAACCUUGAUCUGAGACUCCGCAGCCUCCAGAACUUUGUGAAAUUACAC
This 12436-nucleotide long non-coding RNA is filed under the name Heterocephalus glaber (naked mole-rat). Its description in RNAcentral is "lncRNA (ENSHGLG00100045087.1)". Lineage: Eukaryota; Metazoa; Chordata; Mammalia; Rodentia; Bathyergidae. The record is from RNAcentral.